RNAcentral lists this long non-coding RNA (280 nucleotides) under Sorghum bicolor (sorghum). RNAcentral describes it as "long non-coding RNA (SBIC_LNC009946)". Lineage: Eukaryota; Viridiplantae; Streptophyta; Magnoliopsida; Poales; Poaceae. The record is from RNAcentral.
AUGGAAAGCAUGCCGAUGGAGCGGAAGCCGAUGAAAAUUUCAUCGUAAUUAAAGCGGACAUGGAAGAAGAUAGGUGUUGUUUUCCUUUUCUGUAUUUGUUAGAGCAUGACUCAUGUAAGAUUCACGUUUUUCCUUAGAUAUGGACUCGGUGUUCUAGUCGUGUUUGGUUAUAUUUCUUCGGAUCAGGGUAUAAAUAUGGACCGAGGGACAAUGUAAAAAUAUACAUCAAUCAAUAUCAAACCAAUUUUACUCCUAUUUUGCAUCUACUUACUUUUUGGUG